GUGCCAGCCGCCGCGGUAAUACGUACUGUGCGAACGUUAUUCGGAAUCACUGGGCUUAAAGGGUGCGUAGGCGGCCGUUUAAGUAGGGUGUGAAAUGCCAGAGCUCAACUUUGGCAUUGCGCUCUAGACUGAAUGGCUUGAGUGAGAUAGGGGUGUGCGGAACUUCCAGUGGAGCGGUGAAAUGUGUUGAUAUUGGAAGGAACGCCGGUGGCGAAAGCGGCACACUGGGUCUUAACUGACGCUGAGGCACGAAAGCCAGGGGAGCGAACGGGAUUAGAAACCCGCGUAGUCC
RNAcentral lists this ribosomal RNA (292 nucleotides) under uncultured bacterium. RNAcentral describes it as "partial 16S ribosomal RNA". It matches the Rfam family "Bacterial small subunit ribosomal RNA", at positions 505 to 796 of the family's 1533-position model. The record is from RNAcentral.